UACAGAGGGUGCGAGCGUUAAUCGGAAUUACUGGGCGUAAAGGGUGCGUAGGUGGUUAUAAAAGUUAGGUGUGAAAGCCCUGGGCUCAACCUAGGAAUGGCGCUUAAAACUAUAUGACUAGAGAAUUGUAGAGGUAAGUGGAAUUUCCGGUGUAGCGGUGAAAUGCGUAGAUAUCGGAAGGAACACCAGUGGCGAAGGCGACUUACUGGACAAAUACAGACACUGAGGCACGAAAGCGUGGGGAGCAAACAGG
RNAcentral lists this ribosomal RNA (253 nucleotides) under uncultured bacterium. RNAcentral describes it as "partial 16S ribosomal RNA". It matches the Rfam family "Bacterial small subunit ribosomal RNA", at positions 524 to 776 of the family's 1533-position model. The record is from RNAcentral.